UCUGGGUUGGAUGAGUGGCGAACGGGUGAGUAACACGUGAGUAACCUGCCCUCUUCUUUGGGAUAACGGUCGGAAACGGCUGCUAAUACCGGGUAUUCACUGUCCUUCGCAUGGGGGGUGGGUGGAAAGGUUUUUUCUUGGUGGGGGAUGGGCUCGCGGCCUAUCAGCUUGUUGGUGGGGUGAUGGCUUACCAAGGCUUUGACGGGUAACCGGCCUGAGAGGGUGACCGGUCACAUUGGGACUGAGAUACGGCCCAG
Molecule: ribosomal RNA, 257 nt
Filed under: uncultured bacterium
Lineage: Bacteria
Description: partial 16S ribosomal RNA
Rfam family: Bacterial small subunit ribosomal RNA
Source: RNAcentral